GCCAGGUGUGGUGGUGCAUGCCUGUAAUCCCAGCGGCUCAGGAGGCUGAGGCAGGAGUAUCGAGAGUUCAAAGCCAGACUCAGCAAAAGCGAGGCACUAAGCAACUCAGUGAGACCCUGUCUCUA
This 125-nucleotide small RNA is filed under the name Marmota monax (woodchuck). Lineage: Eukaryota; Metazoa; Chordata; Mammalia; Rodentia; Sciuridae. The record is from RNAcentral.